RNAcentral lists this ribosomal RNA (447 nucleotides) under uncultured Streptococcus sp. RNAcentral describes it as "bacterial SSU rRNA". It matches the Rfam family "Bacterial small subunit ribosomal RNA", at positions 29 to 464 of the family's 1533-position model. Lineage: Bacteria; Bacillati; Bacillota; Bacilli; Lactobacillales; Streptococcaceae. The record is from RNAcentral.
ACGAACGCUGGCGGCGUGCCUAAUACAUGCAAGUAGAACGCUGAAGGAGGAGCUUGCUUCUCUGGAUGAGUUGCGAACGGGUGAGUAACGCGUAGGUAACCUGCCUGGUAGCGGGGGAUAACUAUUGGAAACGAUAGCUAAUACCGCAUAAUAGUAGAUGUUGCAUGACAUUUGCUUAAAAGGUGCAAUUGCAUCACUACCAGAUGGACCUGCGUUGUAUUAGCUAGUUGGUGGGGUAACGGCUCACCAAGGCGACGAUACAUAGCCGACCUGAGAGGGUGAUCGGCCACACUGGGACUGAGACACGGCCCARACUCCUACGGGAGGCAGCAGUAGGGAAUCUUCGACAAUGGACGGAAGUCUGACCGAGCAACGCCGCGUGAGUGAAGAAGGUUUUCGGAUCGUAAAGCUCUGUUGUAAGAGAAGAACGGGUGUGAGAGUGGAAAG